Molecule: long non-coding RNA, 355 nt
Filed under: Macaca mulatta (Rhesus monkey)
Lineage: Eukaryota; Metazoa; Chordata; Mammalia; Primates; Cercopithecidae
Description: lncRNA (ENSMMUG00000063638.1)
Source: RNAcentral
GAAAAAGCAAGGAAUGAGGGUAAGGAGGAGAAAAGAAAGAAGGAAAAAUUGGAAAGAUAAAUGGGGUUUUCCAGUGAAGGUAAGACAGCAACGGUUGGAUUAAUUAAUGAUUAAUAACAAGCAAAAAUUAGUGAAAAUGGAGCAGCAUACCUAAUAUUACCUAGAUAUUUGUAUUUAAAUUUUAUUAUGCAUCAUGUUUCCUAUUUGAAAAUAAUGUUUUCAUAAUCAGCAAAACUACAAAACAAUUUAGAUGUAAGCAACAGUCUUCCUUGCCCUAAAAUUUCAUCUGGGAGUAGAUUCUAGAAUGUUUUAGGAAGACUUAAGGAUACAUUCCUAGCCAUUUUAAAAUUAAAAU